This 307-nucleotide unclassified non-coding RNA is filed under the name plant metagenome. RNAcentral's name for it is "partial contains 5.8S ribosomal RNA, internal transcribed spacer 2, and large subunit ribosomal RNA". The stretch from base 1 to 105 matches the Rfam family "5.8S ribosomal RNA", at positions 50 to 154 of the family's 154-position model. The record is from RNAcentral.
GAAAUGCGAUAAGUAAUGUGAAUUGCAGAGUUUAGUGAAUCAUCGAAUCUUUGAACGCACAUUGCGCCCGCCAGCACUCUGGCGGGCAUGCCUGUUCGAGCGUCAUUUCAACCCUCAGAACCCCUUGCGGGAUCUGGCGUUGGGGAUUGGCAUCCAGCCAGCCCCGAAAUCUAGUGGCGGUCCCUCCGCGACCUCCCCUGUGCAGUAGCGAUACCUCGCAGCGGGACAGCGGUCUGACCACGCCGUAAAACCCCCAACUUCUCAAGGUUGACCUCGAAUCAGGUAGGAAUACCCGCUGAACUUAAGC